AGGGUGUAAACGCUGCAGACUUGGUGUUGGAAGCCCUUUGGGGGCAUUCAGUGCCGGAGAGAAGUUGUUAAGUCUGCUACUUGGGGAGUACGUCCGCAAGGAUGAAACUUAAAGGAAUUGGCGGGGGAGCACCGCAACGGGAGGAGCGUGCGGUUUAAUUGGAUUCAACACCGUAAAACUCACCAGGGGAGACUGUUACAUGAAACCCAGACUAAUGAUCUUGGUUGAUUUUUCAGAGAGGAGGUGCAUGGCGUCAGUGACU
Molecule: ribosomal RNA, 262 nt
Filed under: uncultured archaeon
Lineage: Archaea
Description: partial 16S ribosomal RNA
Rfam family: Archaeal small subunit ribosomal RNA
Source: RNAcentral